This 539-nucleotide ribosomal RNA is filed under the name uncultured Acinetobacter sp. RNAcentral's name for it is "bacterial SSU rRNA". It matches the Rfam family "Bacterial small subunit ribosomal RNA", at positions 374 to 904 of the family's 1533-position model. The record is from RNAcentral. Lineage: Bacteria; Pseudomonadati; Pseudomonadota; Gammaproteobacteria; Moraxellales; Moraxellaceae.
GGCGCAAGCCUGAUCCAGCCAUGCCGCGUGUGUGAAGAAGGCCUUUUGGUUGUAAAGCUCUUUAAGCGAGGAGGAGGCUACUUGGAUUAAUACUCUGAGAUAGUGGACGUUACUCUGACAACAAGCACCGGCAAACUCUGUGCCAGCGGCCGCGGUAAUACUGAGGGUGCGAGCGUUAAUCGGAUUUACUGGGCGUAAAGCGUGCGUAGGCGGCUUCUUAAGUCGGAUGUGAAAUCCCUGAGCUUAACUUAUGAAUUGCAUUCGAUACUGGGAAGCUAGAGUAUGGGAGAGGAUGGUAGAAUUCCAGGUGUAGCGGUGAAAUGCGUAGAGAUCUGGAGGAAUACCGAUGGCGAACGCAGCCAUCUGGCCUAAUACUGACGCUGAGGUACGAAAGCAUGGGGAGCAAACAGGAUUAGAUACCCUGGUAGUCCAUGCCGUAAACGAUGUCUACUAGCCCUUGGGGCCUUUGAGGCUUUAGUGGCGCAGCUAACGCGAUAAGUAGACCGCCUGGGGAGUACGGUCGCAAGACUAAAACUCAA